UACGUAGGGGGCAAGCGUUAUCCGGAAUUACUGGGUGUAAAGGGUGAGUAGGCGGCAUGGUAAGCCAGAUGUGAAAGCCUUGGGCUUAACCCGAGGAUUGCAUUUGGAACUAUCAAGCUAGAGUACAGGAGAGGAAAGCGGAAUUCCUAGUGUAGCGGUGAAAUGCGUAGAUAUUAGGAAGAACACCAGUGGCGAAGGCGGCUUUCUGGACUGAAACUGACGCUGAGGCACGAAAGCAUGGGUAGCGAACAGG
Molecule: ribosomal RNA, 253 nt
Filed under: uncultured bacterium
Lineage: Bacteria
Description: partial 16S ribosomal RNA
Rfam family: Bacterial small subunit ribosomal RNA
Source: RNAcentral